UACGGAGGAUGCAAGCGUUAUCCGGAAUGAUAGGGCGUAAAGCGUCCGCAGGUGGCUAUGUAAGUCUGCUGUUAAAGAGUGAGGCUCAACCUCAUAAGAGCAGUGGAAACUACAUAGCUAGAGUACGUUCGGGGCAGAGGGAAUUCCUGGUGUAGCGGUGAAAUGCGUAGAGAUCAGGAAGAACACCAGUGGCGAAGGCGCUCUGCUAGGCCGUAACUGACACUGAGGGACGAAAGCUAGGGGAGCGAAUGGG
This 253-nucleotide ribosomal RNA is filed under the name uncultured bacterium. Its description in RNAcentral is "partial 16S ribosomal RNA". It matches the Rfam family "Bacterial small subunit ribosomal RNA", at positions 524 to 776 of the family's 1533-position model. The record is from RNAcentral.